CCUACGGGUGGCAGCAGUGAGGAAUAUUGGUCAAUGGGCGCGAGCCUGAACCAGCCAAGUCGCGUGAGGGAAGACGGUCCUAUGGAUUGUAAACCUCUUUUGUCGGGGAGCAAAACACGCCACGCGUGGCGUUCCGGGAGUUCCCUAAGAAAAAGCAUCGGCUAACUCCGUGCCAGCAGCCGCGGUAAUACGGAGGAUGCGAGCGUUAUCCGGAUUUAUUGGGUUUAAAGGGUUCGCAGGCGGAAGUUCAAGUCAGCGGUAAAAUUGAGAGGCUCAACCUCUGCGCGCCGUUGAAACUGGUGUUCUUGAGUGGGCGAGAAGUAUGCGGAAUGCGUGGUGUAGCGGUGAAAUGCAUAGAUAUCACGCAGAACUCCGAUUGCGAAGGCAGCAUACCGGCGCUCAACUGACGCUCAUGCACGAAAGUGUGGGUAUCGAACAGGAUUAGAUACCCGUGUAGUC
This 459-nucleotide ribosomal RNA is filed under the name uncultured bacterium. Its description in RNAcentral is "partial 16S ribosomal RNA". It matches the Rfam family "Bacterial small subunit ribosomal RNA", at positions 338 to 795 of the family's 1533-position model. The record is from RNAcentral.